AGAACGAACGCUGGCGGCAGGCUUAACACAUGCAAGUCGAGCGCCCAGCAAUGGGAGCGGCGGACGGGUGCGUAACACGUGGGAACAUGCCUUUCGGUACGGAACAACUGCGGGAAACUGCAGCUAAUGCCGUAUACGCCCUUACGGGGAAAGAUUUAUCGCCGAAAGAUUGGCCCGCGUCUGAUUAGCUAGUUGGUGAGGUAACGGCUCACCAAGGCUUCGAUCAGUAGCUGGUUUGAGAGAACGACCAGCCACACUGGGACUGAGACACGGCCCAGACUCCUACGGGAGGCAGCAGUGGGGAAUCUUGGACAAUGGGCGAAAGCCUGAUCCAGCCAUGCCGCGUGAGUGAUGAAGGCCUUCGGGUUGUAAAACUCUUUACCUGGGAAGAUAAUGACUGUACCAGGAGAAUAAGCCCGGCUAACUUCGUGCCAGCAGCCGC
Molecule: ribosomal RNA, 442 nt
Filed under: uncultured bacterium
Lineage: Bacteria
Description: SSU rRNA
Rfam family: Bacterial small subunit ribosomal RNA
Source: RNAcentral